AUGGCGGGGUCAGAGCAGCAGCAGAGGGAGCUGGUGCUGUUCGACACGAGGACAAAGAAGGCGGAGAUGUUCCGGCCGCUGGUGGAGGGCAAAGUGAGCAUGUACGUCUGCGGCGUGACGCCCUACGACUUCAGCCACGUUGGCCACGCCCGCGCUUACGUCGCCUUUGACGUCCUCUACAGGUACCUAAAGUACUUGGGGUACGAGGUUGAGUACGUGCGCAACUUCACUGAUAUCGAUGACAAGAUUAUUAGACGAGCAAAUGAAGCUGGUGAAACGGCAACUAGUUUGAGUAGUCGGUUCAUCGAUGAGUUCCUGCGUGACAUGGUUGAACUUCAGUGCUUGCCUCCUACUCGCGAGCCACGUGUGACAGAGCACAUUAAGCAGAUAAUAGAUUUGAUAACCAAGAUAGAGGAAAAAGGGAAAGCCUAUACUAUUGAAGGAGACGGCGUAUACUUCUCAGUUGAUAAUUUCCCUGAAUAUCUUAGUCUGUCUGGAAGGAGCUUAGACCAUAAUCUUCCGGGGUCACGAGUCGCUGUCGAUACAAGAAAGCGCAAUCCUGCAGACUUUGCAUUAUGGAAGUCUGCUAAGGAGGGUGAGCCAUUCUGGGAAAGCCCUUGGGGCCGUGGGAGACCAGGAUGGCAUAUUGAGUGCAGUGCAAUGAGCGGGCAUUAUUUAGGCCAUGCGUUUGAUAUUCAUGGCGGAGGAAAAGAUUUGAUCUUUCCACAUCAUGAGAACGAGCUCGCGCAAAGCAGAGCAGCGAAUCCUGAGAGCGAGGUCAAAUGCUGGAUGCAUAAUGGCUUUGUCAACAACAAUGGCCAGAAGAUGGCAAAAGCAGACAAAAACUUCUUCACUAUCAGAGAUGUUAUCACUCUGUACCAUCCAAUGGCUCUCAGGCUAUUCCUGAUGCGAACACACUACAGGUCCGAUGUUAACCACUCUGAUGCAGGCCUUGAGUUUGCAUCUGGCCGUGUGUACUAUAUUUAUCAGACUCUGAAAAUAGUCAUAUCCUUGUACCAUGAUGACAAGUUGGAUGUCCCAGUACCAGCAGGCGACCGGAAGGUGGUUGAGGACAACCACGAAAGUUUCCUGAGACACAUGUCGAACGAUCUUCACACGACAGGUGCCCUCGAUGAGCUUAUGAAGCCAGUGAGAGCAAUGAACAACAACUUGAGUGAUCUGAAGGUGGUGAAGCAGCUGAAGGAGAAGGCGCUGAAGCGAGCAGGGAUGAGCGAAGAGGAGCUGCAGCAGGUGAUUGAGCAGAGAAGCGCUGCGAGGAAGAAGGAGUUUGCGGAGUCGGACCGGAUGAGGGCGGAGCUGUCUGCCCGCGGCAUCGCCUUGAUGGAUGAGCCUGCCGGGACGCUGUGGAAGCCAUCUGAACCAGCAGAACUAGUUGAAGAACCGUAG
This 1407-nucleotide ribosomal RNA is filed under the name Triticum aestivum (bread wheat). RNAcentral describes it as "partial small subunit ribosomal RNA". Lineage: Eukaryota; Viridiplantae; Streptophyta; Magnoliopsida; Poales; Poaceae. The record is from RNAcentral.